This 1134-nucleotide long non-coding RNA is filed under the name Homo sapiens (human). RNAcentral's name for it is "HSALNT0362636". The record is from RNAcentral. Lineage: Eukaryota; Metazoa; Chordata; Mammalia; Primates; Hominidae.
ACACCUGCUGGUCUCACCGCUAGGGCCUGGGCAUCACAGGCAGGGGGAAUGGGGAGGGGACGGUAGCGUCAGCCUACACCCACACGCAGGUUAGAGCCUUGGACGGGGAAGCGGAAAAGGCUUAGCAGCUACUAAUGGGUUCUAUUAAUAGUAGUAGUGUUAGGUAGGCUGCACUGGCUGUAUUCUGCCCCCAUGCCUAUCAUUCCCUCACUCUGUGACCCUGGGCGAGUCUCUUCCUCAUCCUGGUGCUCAGUUGCCUUUUCAUAAAGAAAGGGUUGAUUCCCCAUGAUCUGUUGACUCCUUUGCUUUUGGAUAUUUUGGAAGACGCCCUGCGUCACGGGCUAGUUAAUUGUGAACGUCAGGGAAAGCACCAGAGUAGAGAAGCACUUCCAGGAUCCAGAGCCAGGAGGAUGCUCAAAAGGAAGGGAGGAGAGAUGCCCUUCGGCCAAAGGGAGAGCUUGGAGGGUGAGGGGAAGUGGUUGCUUACCAGAAGGGCCUCGGAGUGUGAACUCAAAAGAUAGAGGAUGGCCGAGCGUGGAGGCUCAUGCCUGUAAUUUCAGCACUUUGGGAGGCCGAGGCGGGCAGAUCACUUGAGGACAGGAGUUCGAGACCAGCCUGGCCAAUAUGACGAGACCCCAUCUCUACUAAAAAUACAAAAAUUAGUCAGGCGUCAUAGCAGGCACCUGUAAUCCCAGCUACUUGGCUACUUGGGAGGCUGAGGCAUGAGAAUCACUUGAACCUGGGAGGUGGAGCUGCAGUGAGCCGAGAUUGCACCACUGCACUCCAGCCUGGGCGACACAGUGAGACCCUGUCUUAAAAAAAUAAUAAUAAUAGAGGAAGCGUUUUGGUCCACUGUCCACUCACACAGGGUUAGGCGGAGAGGAAAAAGCUACUGAGACUGAAGAAUGCCCUUUAACCCCACUUACUGGUUGUUUUGAUUCUUUCCUGUAGUUUCCUGAUAAAAGGUCCUUUGGAAACUUUGAUUCUCUUCUCACCAAGUUGAACGGAGAUGUGUUCCCAUAAACACCAUUUCCUGCAGCCUGAAAAGAAGACAGUAUAAUUGUUUGGCAGCAAGAGAAUCCAGGUGCCCUUCCAUGAGAAGCCCAAGCCAUGUGGAGAAGCCACGUCUAGGGA